RNAcentral lists this ribosomal RNA (253 nucleotides) under uncultured bacterium. Its description in RNAcentral is "partial 16S ribosomal RNA". It matches the Rfam family "Bacterial small subunit ribosomal RNA", at positions 524 to 776 of the family's 1533-position model. The record is from RNAcentral.
UACGGAGGGUGCAAGCGUUAUCCGGAUUUAUUGGGUUUAAAGGGUCCGUAGGCGGAUCUGUAAGUCAGUGGUGAGAUCUCACAGCUUAACUGUGAAACUGCCAUUGAUACUGCAGGUCUUGAGUGUUAUUGAAGUAGCUGGAAUAAGUAGUGUAGCGGUGAAAUGCAUAGAUAUUACUUAGAACACCAAUUGCGAAGGCAGGUUACUAAGCAACAACUGACGCUGAUGGACGAAAGCGUGGGGAGCGAACAGG